AAACCUCAAAGGAAUUGACGGGGGCCCGCACAAGCGGUGGAGCAUGUGGUUUAAUUCGACGCAACGCGCAGAACCUUACCAACCCCUUGACAUCCCUAUGACCACCAGAGAGAUCUGGCUUUCUCGUAAGAGACAUAGUGACAGGUGCUGCAUGGCUGUCGUCAGCUCGUGUCGUGAGAUGUUCGGUUAAGUCCGGCAACGAGCGCAACCCACAUCUUUAGUUGCCAGCAAGUUAUGUUGGGCACUCUAGAGAAACUGCCCGUGAUAAGCGGGAGGAAGGUGUGGAUGACGUCAAGUCCUCAUGGCCCUUACGGGUUGGGCUACACACGUGCUACAAUUGCAUCAACAAUGGGUUAAUCCCUAAAAGAUGUCUCAGUUCGGAUUGGGGUCUGCAACUCGACCCCAUGAAGUUGGAAUCGCUAGUAAUCGCGUAACAGCAUGACGCGGUGAAUACGUUCCCGGGCCUUGUACACACCGCCCGUCACACCAUGGGAGUUGGAUCUACCCGAAGGCCGUGCGCCAACCUUUCGAGGAGGCAUGCGGACCACGGUGG
Molecule: ribosomal RNA, 553 nt
Filed under: uncultured bacterium
Lineage: Bacteria
Description: bacterial SSU rRNA
Rfam family: Bacterial small subunit ribosomal RNA
Source: RNAcentral